RNAcentral lists this non-coding RNA (30 nucleotides) under Mus musculus (house mouse). Lineage: Eukaryota; Metazoa; Chordata; Mammalia; Rodentia; Muridae. The record is from RNAcentral.
UGGCUUUCUUGGAUAAUUUUUAUCCUCCUG